Long non-coding RNA from Chiroxiphia lanceolata (lance-tailed manakin), 1135 nucleotides. RefSeq lists it as uncharacterized. Lineage: Eukaryota; Metazoa; Chordata; Aves; Passeriformes; Pipridae. The record is from RefSeq and is a predicted model, not a curated record. The transcript has 4 exons.
CUGACUUUUUUGUUGUCUUCUAUUCCUAGGUGCAUUGGGCAAUGAAGGAAUAUCCAAUGGAAAUUGCUCUGGAUGUCUCCAAUACGUGAGCCAGAAUUUGUUUAAAAGAAAAAAAAGAAAUCUGAAGAAAUCACUCCUGGUGCUAAUAUCUGACCUCUUCAUCCAAAAAGCAGCCUCCAUCUACUUCAAGAAGGUGCGAUAUGUCCAGACUAAGAAGGCCCCCUCAAGUGCACUGUCCUGCAGCCAGAAGUCUCAAUGCUGCACAGUCUGCAAUACCAAGAGACUGAGCUUUGGUCCCACCUCUGAAAUACUUCAUGUUGGACAGGCCCUCCCAAGCAGUAGUCACCAAGAGAGAGAGAGCGCUACAGUCCCAAGAGACCAGAGACUGAAGAAUCUGAAUUGUCAAAUACAGGGUUUGAUCCCAACAUUUAUUUGCCUGGUUAGUUUCACUAGGAGGCCUGUGGAGGCUUCCUAUACUUCUAUUUUGGGGGCGAGGGAAUGAAAUGGAGAUAGAAAAAUAGAAAGGGUUUGGUAGAACACAAGGAGACUGCCAUCUAAAUUCACGUCCUUCUUCUUUAUGUAAGAAGAAAUGAAAUGAGGGAAGAAAUGCCCCAGAUGCUGCCUAUUUUCAGCGAGUCAACUCUGCUUCGUCUUCCUCUCCCAGAGAAAAAGAGAAGCAGAUUUUGUAACAAUUUCAACUUUGACAUUUUUGUCUUAAGUCAGCGAGACAUUAAAUACCUGCUUUGUGAACAGAACUAUAUUGCUGGUUCCUCAGAACUUUGACUUGAAUUUUAGAACCUCUUUUCUAACAACAAAAUAAAUAAGAAAGAUACAUAAUAUUCAGGAAGGUGGCAGGAUCCAAAAACAAAAUCUAAGUUCCUUCUGCAGCAGUAAAUAUCUGAUAGGUUCAGAGUGUGCAGUUGGUAUAUGCAACAUCAGUGAUUUAACACUGCUGCAAGGAAAGAAUCAUCCUUGGUGCUGUGCUCAUGCCAGUAAGUAUAAAACCAUCCCCUUCCUACCUGGUCAAGGAAUUCAGAUGUGUAAAUGCCAGAUGGAGUCUUCUGUAGAGAACAAGUUCCUUCCUAGUUCAAAUUUAACUUUAUUCCUUGUCUUAUUUUGAUGCAAACACAUUGUA